CGUGGGUCACCAUUGCAGACUCAUCAUCCAUUAUAUCUGGGGGUAUCUCCACUUCCAUGUAGCCUUUCUGAAAAUAUAGCGAGAGAAACUGGGUGCCAGUGGCCUCCUUCUGCGACCAUGGAAUCUUUAUGCAGAGAUAGGUAAAGAAAACGUCGCGGCCCUGGACCACGGUGUGAUUCUCCAAGGGGGCUAGGAACUCUGGAAGUAUCUCCGGAGUUAUUUGACCUGAAAGAGAAUUCGUUAGAAAAUAGUUCCUGCCCCCAUGUGCAUGAAUAAGCAGCGCUGUCGAUUAGAUAUUCAAGUUUUCUAUGGAGCUGAAUUCCAGCCUGCCUUCCAUCGAUUCACUAUGGAAGAGACAGAGGUAAAAAUGCAAAAGGAGAAGAGGAGAGGAGAGGAGAGGAGAGGCGGUGCCGAUUCACCCAUAUUCUCGUAUCGAAUUCUUGUACGCGUUCAUGCAAGAAAGACGAUAAAUGGAAAAUUCUCGAGUCGUGUAGUCGUAAUCCAGGCUUCGAAAUCACGUUUUCAUGGCUGAAUUUUGUCAUCGGUAUGCUCUUAUUCGCAUGGCGACAUCUCAUGGCCCCCAGGAUGCCAUUGCUAGGAUGCUCUUUCGCUAAACAAUUUGAAUUCUAAUCAAAAUAGGAACAAGCAAACAAAUGGAAUCGUUAGAUCAAUCCAUCGGAUGAUUGUUCUUUCUCCAAAGUGGAGUCUCUUUGCAGCCGAAGAAGAGACUAGAAUGAAAUUUCCUACUGGCUACGAUUCAGAAUGCUUCUCUCAGCUAAUAAUCUUCUUAAAUAUCGUUGCACGUUAAUGUGCAACGUGCAUUGCUCCCUAUAUGUAUACUGUACCGCGUAUACUCUACUGCGUAUCAUUUGGAUGGUGGAGUUUGAAGAAAACCGUGUAAAACGAGAUUUGCCAUCCUGAUCGAGUUGCCGCUGGGAAAAGAAUUUUCCGUGAAAGUUGACGCGUUCAACGGCACCUUUGGUGUCUUCACUUUUCGCCUGCCUCCCAACGUCCGGGGUGCUUUCGGAGAAAUCAACGAAUCUGCGAGGAACAGGAGGAGGAGCAGGAAGAGGAAGAGGAGGAGGAGGGUAGACGAAAAUCAAUCAGUUUACGUAACAUUGCUCCGACUGAUUACCACUUAUUCCACGAGACGGUGAAUUCCCCGCGAAGAAAGCAUCGAGGUGUGCAACGAGGUUCUCUUCCGAUCUCGACCACUUUCUAUGCUGGGGGAGUGGCAAUCGAUCGGGGAGGAGGGCUGCAACGGGAAUCAAGGCAGUUUGCUGUAGGAGAGAACAACAACGCCGAUGAGAAGAAACCGAGGAAAAGAAGAGAAAAGAAGAAAAGAAAAAAAGAAAAAAAGAAAGAAAUAAGUAAAGAAAAGGAGCGGAGAAGAGAAAGAAGAUGAGGAAGGA
Molecule: long non-coding RNA, 1412 nt
Organism: Hylaeus volcanicus
Lineage: Eukaryota; Metazoa; Arthropoda; Insecta; Hymenoptera; Colletidae
Exons: 6
Source: RefSeq, a predicted model, not a curated record